AUGACGUCAAGUCAUCAUGGCCCUUACGGCCUGGGCUACACACGUGCUACAAUGGUCGGUACAAAGGGUUGCCAAGCGCGAGGUGGAGCUAAUCCCAUAAAACCGAUCGUAGUCCGGAUCGCAGUCUGCAACUCGACUGCGUGAAGUCGGAAUCGCUAGUAAUCGUGAAUCAGAAUGUCACGGUGAAUACGUUCCCGGGCCUU
Molecule: ribosomal RNA, 203 nt
Filed under: uncultured Pseudomonas sp.
Lineage: Bacteria; Pseudomonadati; Pseudomonadota; Gammaproteobacteria; Pseudomonadales; Pseudomonadaceae
Description: partial 16S ribosomal RNA
Rfam family: Bacterial small subunit ribosomal RNA
Source: RNAcentral